Molecule: ribosomal RNA, 523 nt
Filed under: uncultured bacterium
Lineage: Bacteria
Description: partial 16S ribosomal RNA
Rfam family: Bacterial small subunit ribosomal RNA
Source: RNAcentral
GACGAACGCUGGCGGCGUGCCUAAUACAUGCAAGUCGAACGCUUUUUCUUUCACCGGAGCUUGCUCCACCGAAAGAAAAAGAGUGGCGAACGGGUGAGUAACACGUGGGUAACCUGCCCAUCAGAAGGGGAUAACACUUGGAAACAGGUGCUAAUACCGUAUAACACUAUUUUCCGCAUGGAAGAAAGUUGAAAGGCGCUUUUGCGUCACUGAUGGAUGGACCCGCGGUGCAUUAGCUAGUUGGUGAGGUAACGGCUCACCAAGGCAACGAUGCAUAGCCGACCUGAGAGGGUGGUCGGCCACCCUGGGACUGAGACACGGCCCAGACUCCUACGGGAGGCAGCAGUAGGUAAUCUUCGGCAAUGGACGAAAGUCUGCCCGAGCAACGCCGCGUGAGUGAAGAAGGUUUUCGGAUCGUAAAACUCUGUUGUUAGAGAAGAACAAGGAUGAGAGUAAAAUGUUCAUCCCUUGACGGUAUCUAACCAGAAAGCCACGGCUAACUACGUGCCAGCCGCCGCGGUAA